GAUCAUGGCUCAGGAUGAACGCUAGCGACAGGCUUAACACAUGCAAGUCGAGGGGCAGCGGGGUGUAGCAAUACACCGCCGGCGACCGGCGCACGGGUGAGUAACGCGUAUGCAACUUGCCUAUCAGAGGGGGAUAACCCGGCGAAAGUCGGACUAAUACCGCAUGAAGCAGGGGCCCGCAUGGGGAUAUUUGCUAAAGAUUCAUCGCUGAUAGAUAGGCAUGCGUUCCA
This 230-nucleotide ribosomal RNA is filed under the name uncultured bacterium. Its description in RNAcentral is "partial 16S ribosomal RNA". It matches the Rfam family "Bacterial small subunit ribosomal RNA", at positions 15 to 240 of the family's 1533-position model. The record is from RNAcentral.